CUGUAGCUCAAUUGGAUAGAGCGUUAGCCUCCUAAGCUGAAGGUUGCGAGUUCGAUUCCCGCCAGGG
RNAcentral lists this transfer RNA (67 nucleotides) under uncultured Treponema sp. It matches the Rfam family "tRNA", at positions 5 to 66 of the family's 71-position model. Rfam says of the family: Transfer RNA (tRNA) molecules are approximately 80 nucleotides in length. Their secondary structure includes four short double-helical elements and three loops (D, anti-codon, and T loops). The record is from RNAcentral. Lineage: Bacteria; Pseudomonadati; Spirochaetota; Spirochaetia; Treponematales; Treponemataceae.